Molecule: long non-coding RNA, 245 nt
Organism: Notothenia coriiceps (black rockcod)
Lineage: Eukaryota; Metazoa; Chordata; Actinopteri; Perciformes; Nototheniidae
Exons: 3
Source: RefSeq, a predicted model, not a curated record
UGAUGUAUAACGGGAUCCGCUCUCAGGGAGGAGUGAAGUCCGGCAUGUGGUCCUCCAUCUACUUCAUCGUGCUCACACUGUUUGGAAACUACACUCUGCUGAAUGUGUUCUUGGCCAUCGCUGUGGAUAACCUCGCCAACGCACAAGAACUCACCAAGGAUGAAGAGGAGGCGGAGGCGGCGUUUAAUCAGAAACACGCUCUGCAGAAAGCGAAGGAAGUCGGGCCGCUGUCCUCCUUCAUGUCC